This 272-nucleotide ribosomal RNA is filed under the name Escherichia coli. RNAcentral's name for it is "partial 16S ribosomal RNA". It matches the Rfam family "Bacterial small subunit ribosomal RNA", at positions 1 to 269 of the family's 1533-position model. The record is from RNAcentral. Lineage: Bacteria; Pseudomonadati; Pseudomonadota; Gammaproteobacteria; Enterobacterales; Enterobacteriaceae.
AAAUUGAAGAGUUUGAUCAUGGCUCAGAUUGAACGCUGGCGGCAGGCCUAACACAUGCAAGUCGAACGGUAACAGGAAACAGCUUGCUGUUUCGCUGACGAGUGGCGGACGGGUGAGUAAUGUCUGGGAAACUGCCUGAUGGAGGGGGAUAACUACUGGAAAUGGUAGCUAAUACCGCAUAACGUCGCAAGACCAAAGAGGGGGACCUUCGGGCCUCUUGCCAUCGGAUGUGCCCAGAUGGGAUUAGCUAGUAGGUGGGGUAACGGCUCACC